GCGAGGGUGCAGCACACGGAGCAUGUAGAAUUGACCCUGUUGAAACUGAUAAGAGAUGCGCUGUCUGAGGUGAAACUGUAUACUGCAAGGAAUACAGGGGAUACUGUUUUAAUAGAUGACGUGAUUGAGGGCUGAUUGGAAAAAUUAUUGGCGCAUGUAUUUUGCGUGCGAGUUGGACUGGGUUGGUUCUAGAUUUGAUUUUGGGCUUGAGAUGUAAAAGUGGGCCCUUUUAUUCAAGUAAGAUACCCCAGCAUAUAUGAGAAGGAGUUUUCUAUUGGAUUUCCACAAUGCGUAUAUUUUUGAAUUUUCGAUUUUUUUUUAUAUGUUUUAAGGGUUAGUGGUGGUGCAACAUCUGGUUAAGGAAAUAUGUUUUUUUUUAAAUCGCGUUUUUUAAUAUCAAAAAUCGGUCAAAAAAACACUAAAAAAUAUUUUUUGACGAGAAAUCGAGUUUGUUUUUUUAACCCUCUACUGUUCAAUUUAUUUUUUUGAUUUUUUUUAUUUUUUCCGUGUUUAGGAGGUCAUUUUGAGCAACUUUUGUUCUACGAAAAACUUAACUUGUUUUGUUUUAUGUUUUUUUGUAUUAUUUUUAGUACAUUAAAUUGCAUCUAUUUAUAUGUUAUGUUUCUUUUAGGUUUUUUGCUUGUUUUUCACAUUUUCUGCUAUAGAAUGGAACCAUUAUUUGAAUUGUAAAAAAUGCGAAGAGGCAUAGUCUAGGGCACUACAAAAAUAACUGCAUACUUCUUUUUACUUCAAAUAUAGUAAAUUUUAGAAAAGAAACACAUCCAAAGUAAGGCCCAGAAAAAAUACAUUUUUUUAAAUAUUGGCAAAGUCACGUUGAAACAAGUUAAACUUCCAACCCUAAAAUUUUCAAAAAAAAUAAAAAUUCUUCUUUCAAAUGUUUUUUAAAGAUCAAAAAUUGGUUGAAAAAUAGAUUUUUGGCGAUUUUUAAGAUCGAAGCCCGUCUAGAGGCGGGGUUAGGUUGUAGGAGGGGUUAGGUAUAGAAGAAUGUUGGAAGUAAUCGCCCAGCAUUCGUCAGGAUGCAUCCGAAAGGAUUAGGGCGUCUAAUUUUCCCGGGUUUUGAAUUUCCCGGGAAGUGGGACAAAUAUUUUUGAAUUCUCGGGAAUUUCCGGGAUUCCGGGAAAUUUUUCAAACAGUCGUAAAAUCUAUGUUUUCAUUAUAUUUGUUAUGUUUUACAAGCCUGAAUCUUAGAAUUAGCUCAAUAAUAUUUAUUGGUGAAAAUCUAAACUUUCAAUCUAAACAAGGACGUCAGUUUUAAAAAAGUUUAAAAGAAAUUAAAAAUGUUAUUUUUUGUUCUUUGUUGUGCUUUGGAUUUUAAAUGAACUAUACUUUUUUAUCCAAUGAGAUUCAAAUUAAAUAAAUAUUUUAAAAAUAUAUUUCUUUUUUAUAUUUUUUUUAUCUGAGCCGUUUAAGAAUAUCAGUAAAACAAAAUGAAAACAGAAGAUAGAUGGUAGAUAAAAAUAGAAAAAAGAGAAACCCCGUUCUGUGAUGUUUCAGGUACAUCCACAGCAGUUGACUCAACAGACUGCAAAUCAAAACAAUACCGUCUACAAUCACAAAUAACUUCCCUUUCCCACAUUGUCGCGCCCCUUUCUUUUAGCUGUCUCGAAUCUGACUUAGGUUAGAAAAUUAAUAUUUUUUCAUGAAAUGUUAUAGCCUCAAAAUCAAACCUGAUGCAAUUUUUAAACUCAAAUUUCUCAAAAAAGCGCACACCAGAUUUUAAGCGCCAAGAUGCAUUUGAAAGGGGAGAUUUAGCAGUAGAAACGUGGUGUGAUCACUAAGGACCUUUUUUUGUUGGUUCUAAACGCAUAACAAUCCCUUGAAACCUGCUUUUCCGUAGGAACGAUUGUGUAGAUUUGAAUGUAUUACAAAGAAACUAAACAGAAUAAAAUUGCACUUAGUAUUAAGAGGCAGUAUUUGUAGAUUCUGCUCGGUUUGUUCUAGAGGUCGUAUCGAGGUGCUCCGAUUUGGAUGAAACUUUCAGGGUUUGUUUGUCUAUACAUGAGAUGAACUCAUGCCAAAUAUGAGCCCUCUACGACAAAGGGAAGGGGGGUAAAACGGGCAUUGAAGUUUGAGGUCCAAAAAACAUGAAAAAUGUUAAAAUUGCUCGCAUUUCCGUAAAACUUCAUCAAUUCCAACUCUCUUAGAUGCAUUCGAAAGGUAUUUUAAAGCCCUUCAAAAUGUGCUAUAGACAUCCAGGAUUGGUUUGACUUUUUCUCAUAGCUUUUGCAAAUUACUGUUAAAAAUGGAUUUUUUUAAAACCUUAAUAACUUAUUGCAACAGCCUCCAACACCCAUACUCCCAUGGGUCAAAAGAUAGGGAAUUUCAUGGACUAUAAGCCUACGGUAUUAACUUUUUGGCCAAUCGCAGUUUUUCUCAUAGUUUUACGAUUUUUCUAGAACAAACAUUUUACAACGCUAGUUUUUGCCCUGUAGGCCAAGAAGACGGCACUUUUUGGUCUCAAUUUUGUCAUAUUCGGAAUCCUCGGACAAUUUCACGUAAGUUAGAAGUAUUGGAGCUGUAAUUUUGAUUUAAAAAAUAAUUAAAUAAAA
This is a long non-coding RNA of Culex pipiens pallens (northern house mosquito), 2570 nucleotides long. RefSeq lists it as uncharacterized. The transcript is spliced from 2 exons. Lineage: Eukaryota; Metazoa; Arthropoda; Insecta; Diptera; Culicidae. The record is from RefSeq and is a predicted model, not a curated record.